GGGUGUCAAUAGAGUCCUGAUCUUCAAUCAGCCACUGGAGAUACCUUUGAAGGAUUUCAACCUUUUUUGGAUCGAUGGCAGCAAUCACUUCAUCUGACAAUAGCUGCUUCACUCUUUUCUUAGAAGUCAAAACUUCAACUGCUAGAACUGGAUUAACAUCUGCAAUCCAUCCAAGAUGCUGCAAAACCAAUUCUUGAUCAGACAACUCCUCUAGAAUUUUUGAUGCCUCAAUUGCAGCAAUCUC
RNAcentral lists this unclassified non-coding RNA (244 nucleotides) under Hevea brasiliensis (rubber tree). Lineage: Eukaryota; Viridiplantae; Streptophyta; Magnoliopsida; Malpighiales; Euphorbiaceae. The record is from RNAcentral.